GUGACUCUCCAAUUUUCAUAGUCAUGAAAAUAAAGAAAACUCUUUGAAUGAGAAGGUGUGUCCAAACCUUUGGUCUGUACUGUAUAUAUAAAAUGUCCAUGAGUGUCCUGUCAUAUUUACAUAAGAUUUUACAAUAUCUGCACUUUGAGGUGUUAAUAGACGGUUAUGGUUACGGUUAAAUUCAUGUUAAUUUGUUAUCUUAUUUUUCACGGUUAAACUGAAUUUACGUUAGUUUCCUAAACUAAACAGCAUUAUGAAAUAAAGACUAGCAUAAUUAUUUUGAGGCCACUGAAGUGGUAAUUGUUGAAAGUAUGUUUUGCAUGUAAUGUUUCAGACUUGUCGAGCUUGUGUCUGCACCGAGAGUUAAAGACACAGAAGCUGUUUGUGUGAGGAUUCACAGACUGUGAGGAGACAGUGUUCUUCUGAAGAGAGGGACAGACGGGUUUAAGGAGAGUACAUUUCAGAAUUCCAAGUUAUCUUUAUUCUUACUAAAAUAAUGUUUGUUUUUGUAGAUGUUUAAACCAUUUAUGUCCCUUUUUUCUUUGCAGAACUCUAACUUUGGAGUUAAGGAUACAGUAGUCUGCUUGUGUGAAGAGAACUCAAUCCAACUUUGAAGUUGUCUGAUUUGGAGAGUCAUCAUUCUUGGUCUUCCCUCUUAAAGGAAUAGUUCACACAAAAAAUAAUUUACUUGUCCUCAUGUCAUUCCUAAACCUAUACUUAUGUCUGUCUUUACAACACAAAUUAAAAUCUUUUUAAUUUCUCAUAAUUUUUUGUUUAUCCAUUUAUAGUCUAGAUAAUCAGUAUUUUUAAGGCUCAUAAAUACAGAGUUAUCGUAGAAGUAAUCCAUUCCAAUAUUUAAAUAUAAAUCUUAAAUUAUAUAAUAGCGAACAUGUUAACAUGUCACCCACACUUACAAUGGAGGACAAAAAUUAAGAGAAUAUUAAAUAUAUGUAUUUGUGUUCCAAAAAUUAUCAGCAUUUGUAUGGGUCUGGAGCAACAUGGGGUGGAGUAAAUUAUGACCAUUUUUCAUUUUUUGGUGAACUAACCCUUAGAAUAGCAGCCCUCCACGUACAUGAACAUUUGUGAGGCCGCUGCUGAAGAGCAGGUGGUGACUGGAUGAAUGCUGGUCAAAGAAGAGCAUGUGCUUUCCCCCCAAUUUGAUGCAACGGUGGUUUUAAAGGAGGACGCUGCCCUGGAUGAUGUAAAAGAUGGCACAUGCUGUGCUGAUGUGGCUUCUUCAUGAUUAUAUCAAAUAUGCUAAAGAGAUCAUGUAAACUGACAGUGAUGCAUGAUCUGUAUUCACGGACUAUGAAACAAACUAAGUGUAUAUAAUUUGUAAAAAGUUAAAUGCUUGUUCUGCGUUUAGUAGAAGAGUUUACACGGUCAUUCAUACACAGGGUUAAUUGUUCAAUUAUUGUAUAAUAGAUUUUAAUACAAUAUAUAAAAUUUAACGGUCCAAUUUGAUCUCAAGUUAUAUUCAACAAAUGUUCAAUGCUUUAAGAACUCUGUGGCUGUUAAUGCCAUACCUUUCUGCAUUUCUUAUAUGCAUGUUACUUUUCUCUUGUUUUCAAUAAAUAUUUACCUUUUGAUAGUCAUUCUGUGUGUGUAAAAGUGAUUUUUAAAAUGUUGCAUACACAAAGG
Molecule: long non-coding RNA, 1641 nt
Organism: Carassius gibelio (silver crucian carp)
Lineage: Eukaryota; Metazoa; Chordata; Actinopteri; Cypriniformes; Cyprinidae
Exons: 3
Source: RefSeq, a predicted model, not a curated record